GCGGCGGGCUAGGCCGGGAGGGGAGAGCGGGGGCCGCUCCCCCCGGAACGGCGCGGCUGCGACCUGUUAGCACGGGGCGGGCGAGGUUGGGACUCUUGGAGCAGUGGCUGCAGGGACAGGACUGAGAUGGGGUCGCUGGUGCUGUGUGUUCCUCCAGUACGGCAUGGAGCAUCAUCCAAGGUCAUAUUUAUGCCUGUUUUCUAGAAGCCAAGGAAAGGUCACUUGUCAAGGUCACAUGGUAGGCUGGUGCUGAAUGAGUCUCUCCAGUCCAAAUACAUUUUUAAUUCCAUCAUUCCCUGUAAAGCAAACAAGUGGAAAUUGUUGAUAUAAGAUAGAUGUUGGGGUUGUGCCAGCACUAUAAUUACCCUGUGACAGGGUGUUAGGAUUAGGGAUAUGGGAGAUGGCAGAAAGAGCUGGGAGCUGUGGAGGAGAGGAGUGGAGCUGGGCCAGCAGUGAUGAGGGGAAAAGCAGUGAUAGAGGUAAGGCAGUGCAGUGGAUGAGACAAAGCACGAUUAGUGCGUUCUUAGUUAUAGCGCAGUAAAAUCUCAGGGCUGUCUUAGAUGUUUUUCCCUUUCUUUUUGACCACGCUCUGAUUUGGGGAAGGGAGACUGGUUCAUAACAGACUAGUUUUCUUCCAACAAUCCAGUGAGAAAAAGACAGCAAAACCAGACUGUAGCAUCUGUGUUUGAAACAGAGAAAUGAAAUUUCAAGAUUAGAGACACGUCUGAUUUUGUGAAGACAAGCAACUGAUCGGUGGAACCUUUAGAACUGUUUAUCUGUAGUUUUAAUUCUCCUGACAGGGGAAAAAAAAAAAUCUGGCACAUUACAGCUUUCAUCAGCUUAUGAGAUUGUACUACUCUGAUAAACAUAAUCAUAAUUUGCUUUUACUAAAUUUUUUAGUAAGUGGAAAUUCAGUGUGGCUGUUGCUUAUAGCACACAAGGUGCCAUAACUAAUCAAAGGGAGACGGAAAGGUACAAAAAGAGGAUGGAGAAAGUUAGAAUAAAUUUAGGUCCAUUAGGAGUUAAAUUUGAGGGAAUGAGUUGCAAAACUAGAAGUAAUUGAGAGUGCUUUGGAAUUGCAGAGUGUAAAAAGUGGGGACAAAGGCACUACGGGUACCGUUUGGAAUGAAAAGAAUGUUUCUGAGAGCAUUUUUUAUAUUUUUCUGUGCAUGUUUAAUGGAGAAAGGAGACUGAAAGUAAAAUUAAAGAUGAAAAAGAUCCAUUACCAUCUAUAGGGCCUAAGAGAAUCAGGUAAAAUAAUGGUAAAAUAAUCAGGUAAAAAGUGGAUACCUUUUCCUGAUGUUUUAAGUAUUUAUAAUAACAUAAUAAAAUACAACCAUGCCAUUUAAAGUGUAAUAUAGCAUAUUAUGUUUUCCUGAACCCUUCUUCAUCCUCUGAAGAAAUCCCACUCUGACAGUCUCAUAGUGAUGCAAUGAUAUGUGCCAGCUGCUUUUCUCUAGUUCUCUUUGGCACUGCCAAAUGGCUCAGGUAACAACUGAGCUGUACCCACUGCUCAUUGAGCACAAUAAUUUGACCCACCCUUCUCUGCUUGAGUGCCAGCUCUCCGUGGGGCUGUGUGGGUGUUGUUAUCCCUCAGGCUUUUUUAUUGCCUGAUGAGUUCCGAUGUUAUCGGGGGCAGAGUCCCAGGCUAAGAUGAAAAUACAGAAAGCAGUUGUAUUCUGAUCUAAGGAUACCAUUAUCGUCUGGGUAUUUCAUGAGGUGUCUGCUGCUUACCAGAAACUGUCCAUCCCAGAACUGUGGAAAGCAGCAGGUGGAUGAGGAGUUGGGUGUGAAGUGGUUGGCCGCUAUGCUGUGCUCAGAGGAGGAGAAAGAGGAGGAGGAGGAGGGAGGAAGUGUCAGCUCCUGCUUCAUUUCUGCAAACACUGUCACACAGCUGAAGCAGGCAGAGCACCUUGCAGCCAUGUUAGGUAAGGGCUGCAGGAGCCCACUGUGUCCGUCCUUUUUCUGGGCAGGAGGUCCAUGAAAAUGUUCUGGUAGCCAUCGUAGGUGAGGGCAGAAAGAGCCCGCUCCAUAGCUGUCUUGGAUAAGGGAGAGAGAGAAGAGGGGACUGUCACUGUCACGUUUGUCCCCUAAAAGAGCUGGUGUCUGUUUCAGGAGGAUGAAAUGCAGCUGCGAUAGUUCAUGUGGAAACAUGAAAAACAUCUGGCUUUUGGCUGGAGUGUAUUGAAGUCUCAAUGACGAUGAAAAAUGAGAUCUUUUGCUGAAGGAAGCCUAUUGUGAAUUCUGAACUAACUGUAACCAACUGAGAAAGAAAAACACAGAGCAGCAUUAUAGGCAGCUCAGUGCCAGAUUACUGACUACUGUGCAAUGAUGAUCUAAGAGGCUUCCAAAAUAAUUAAUAUAUAUGAGACUGAGUUUUUGGUGCAGAGGUAUGAACCAGUUCCUUAGAUGAUGAUUCCAGAGAAAUUGUUACACUUGAAAUGACUGAGGCAUGCUGUAUAGGAAAAGUUCAGUUUUAAUUUUUUACACUAAGAUGCAAACUGAUAAUGAAAGCAGAAUAAACAGGUAAGGAGAAAGUUGUAGAUGCAGUUUUCUACUGAGUUCUCAUCCUUGAAACUCAUCAACAAUUUAUCCAAUCAGUUUUGUACUGAUUUUCAGAAAUACAACAAAUGCCAUGUAUAAUUGCCGUACCACAUUUAAAAUAUGACAGUCUAAGAAGGCAUUUACUGCUGUAUAGAAUAGUGUGGAAAUGUAAAGCAAAGUUUGAACUGUUACUUACAUCCUUACGUAUCUUUUGCAAAACAAACUUGCCCCAGGAAUAGCUUCUAAAACAUUCUGAACCAAGCUGUCAAAAAGCAAGGAACUGUUUUAGAGAAGUUUUCUCCAGUGUUAAAAAGAUUGAUUGUAAUUAUCACCCCGGAUUUAGCAAAGGGGUCACACUUUUUUAUUUUAGUGCUAUUAUUAUUCUUUAGUUUCAGACUUAUUUUCUGUUCAUGAUCUUUUAACUCUCUAACUGGUUAUGUAAAGACCAAUUGCAUUAUCUUUCAGCAUUAAUUUUGAAAGAGUAAGCAAGUCUACCAGUUUAAUCCUCUCUUGUCAGGUAGGUUCUCCAUUUAUUCCAUUUUCUUUCAGAUCCUUCCCUGCUCCUCUUUCUGGUUUGCGUUAUAGCUAAUUUUACAUGCAGUGUUUUUUCAUUUCAAAUUAAAUCAGCAAGUUGAAGUAUCUGGCAUUUUCACUGCUUUAUCAUUUUAGCAGAACAUAGUCAUGGUGAGCUCCUAUUUGCUUUUCUAUUAAUAUAUCAAUUUAACAGUCAUUAUUAAUAUUGACUUUUUGAAAUGUUUGAUGUUUUCUGUGGCUGUUUGAAAAAUGGAAAAGAUGCUUUAAAAGUAAUUAUUACUUUUGUGUGUGUGUGUGUUUAUCUGUUUAAAAUUAAUAUAUUUAUUAGACCAAAUCUAAUUUUCAAAUACAAAUAAAAUACUGCUUUAAACUGAAAUCUCGAGGCAGGGGAUGGAGGGGAAGGUGAGAUGAGCAGAUGAUUUUUAUGCAGUUCUUUGGUGUUACACUGUGGAUGUGAGCAGUCUGCACAGUCAGUCCCUGCAGAAGCUGAUGGAACCUGGCCAGCCAACAGUUUGCUGCUACCUGAUAGAAACUGUCCUGAGAAACUGAGAAACACAGGACAGAGCCGUGGAGAUCACAGCUGUAGGAGCAAGAUAAAGCUUGGAAGAAAACAAGGCAGGCUCAAAUACUGAACAUUUGUGGGUCUUUAGAACCCAGCUGUCCCAAAUAGGCCUUUUCUCAUUUUUCUUCCAGCAACUGACAUCACAGGACAUGUUUUUUCUAGAAGUCUCCCUUGUCCAAACCAUUCCAGAUAUUAACAGAUGGCUGUGUUUCUGCAAAACAAGGCAGAGUUACUGGAGAUUGGUAAGGGCACAUUCCAUAUGCAGAGCUCUAGUGUUUUAUGAGGCUUUAUUACACAUUUUAGCAAAAUGCUCUCAGUUAAUAGGUUCCCAGCUCUGAAGUCUGUCUUUUCUCCUGCAUUGAUACUUCUUGAAGAAGAAAGCAGUCUCAGAUGUUUCUAAGUGUUACAAUACAUGUAGAAAUGUUUUUCUUUCUCAACUAAAGAAGAUAAUCAUAUUUUAUCAAAACUAAAAUAUAUUUAAAAUGGCUAAGUGAAAAUUUUUCAGAAGCAUUGUUUCCCUAGUUAUUGGGAAUAUCUCCAGUAGGUAAGAAUCCUUUAUUCUGUACUUUUUUAUCAGAAAUCAAGUGUCUAUUACCUUUCUCCUGCCAAAAGAUUAUUUGUUAAGCAUCCAGUGGAAUUAAUUUACUGUUUAAUAAAACGAGCAGAGCAUAUUACUCUUACUAAGUACUUUAUUCUUAUUAUUUCACAUAGAUAAACUUUUUAUUCACAUGAAAACUUAAAAUUAGGGGCCAGCAAGAACUAGAAGGACAUGCAUGAUGAUAAUAGCUAAAAAUUUUGGUUUGCCCAUGACAGCAAGAAUAUAAUCAAGGGAAGGCUUAUCAGAAGCAGUGACAUGGAAUCUUUUCCUAAACCAAGUGAUAAAAGCUUUUGGCCAGGCCAUUUCAGUUCUUAAAUGGAAACAACAAAUGAAAUGCCACUGGGACUCAUUGUGCUGAGUUGAACUUGAUUAAGAUUAGUCUUAUGUCUUUUUGUGGAGAGUAAUCAUUUACAGAAUUCAGGAGUUAACUACUUGAAAAAUCUGUGAGUCUUACAUCACAGAUUUUCACUGUAAAAUACCUGGAGGAGCUGGAGACAGCGAGGAUCUUCCCAUAGUGCCCUGCCCGAGGCUGCAUACUGCAGAACCCCAUUCCAAUCUCCCUUUGUAUCUAGUGUUGUCUUGGUUAUGUAACCAAAAAAUAUGUAUUGUAUGUCAUCUGUUGAAAGCUGUUUUUUGGGAGAUAUUUUAUCUCUUGUAACUCCAGGGGAAGGGAGGAGGAUGCCUCCUGAUAAUGGCCCAGCCAUUCAAACCAGGUGAGGCAGUGUUUGUUAUCUCUGUCACCACCCCUCCAUCCUCCAGGGGACAUCUUCUGAUAAUGGGCCAUUAGGGCCCACCAAUGACAUGACACAUUCCAUCACCCCAUUAGGAGAUGCUCCACACUGUGGGCAGGAGCCAGCUGUUCCCAGCUAGAUAAAAACUGGCACUGAAGGACUCAAGGGAUCUGGUUUCCCACUGGAUUCCCGGAGGAAGACCGGACCCAUCUCACCACCACUGGACUUUCUACAGGACCAUCUCUACUCCACAGAACCUCAUUUGUUACUCCAGGAGGACUUAUUUGGACAGCUUCCAACACCCUGACCACCCGGGUGCCUGGUUGUAUCCCUGACUCUGUCAGGGUUUUUCCAGGAUUUUUGUUUGCUUCCUUGCUUGUUUUUUUGUACUGCUACAUUUGUAUUUUCCUUUUUUUCUUUUUCUUUUUUUUUUUAAAUAUUCCUAGUAAAGAAUUGUUACUCCUAUUCCCAUA
Molecule: long non-coding RNA, 5442 nt
Organism: Hirundo rustica (Barn swallow)
Lineage: Eukaryota; Metazoa; Chordata; Aves; Passeriformes; Hirundinidae
Exons: 2
Source: RefSeq, a predicted model, not a curated record